RNAcentral lists this ribosomal RNA (492 nucleotides) under uncultured bacterium. Its description in RNAcentral is "partial 16S ribosomal RNA". It matches the Rfam family "Bacterial small subunit ribosomal RNA", at positions 29 to 507 of the family's 1533-position model. The record is from RNAcentral.
AGUGAACGCUGGCGGUAGGCCUAACACAUGCAAGUCGAACGGCAGCACAGUAAGAGCUUGCUCUUACGGGUGUCGAGUGGCGGACGGGUGAGGAAUACAUCGGAAUCUACUUUUUCGUGGGGGAUAACGUAGGGAAACUUACGCUAAUACCGCAUACGACCUACGGGUGAAAGCAGGGGAUCUUCGGACCUUGCGCGAUUGAAUGAGCCGAUGUCGGAUUAGCUAGUUGGCGGGGUAAAGGCCCACCAAGGCGACGAUCCGUAGCUGGUCUGAGAGGAUGAUUAGCCAGAUUGGAACUGAGAAUCGGUCCAGACACUGGGGCGAGGACGCAGUGCAGACUAUUGGACGAUGGAGGCAAGCCGAAUCCAGCCAUACCGCGUGAGUGAAGAAGGAGUUAGGCUUGUAGAGCCAUUUUGUCGGGAAAGAAAAGCAGCAGGUUAAUACCCCGCUGUAAUGACGGUACCCAAAGAAUAAGCACCGGCUAACUUCGUG